GAUGAACGCUGGCGGCGUGCCUAAUACAUGCAAGUCGAGCGAACAGAUGAGGAGUUUGCUCCCCGGACGAUUUCGGCGGACGGGAGAGUAACAUGUGGAUAACCUACCUUUACGACUGGGAAAACUUCGGGAAACUGGCGCAUAUAGCGGAAAAUAUAUUGAUGCGUAUGGUUCAAUAGAGAAAGACAGUUUUGCUGCCACCUAUAGAUGGAUCGGCGCGGCAUUAGCUAGUUGGUAAGGUAACGGACUACCAAGGCAACGAUGCGUGGCCGACCGGGGGGGGUGAUCGGCCACCCUGGAACGAGAACACGGCCCGAACUCCUACGGGAGGAGCAGGAAGGGAAUCUUCCGCAUUGGGCGAAGGCCUAACGGAGCAACGCGGCGUGGGUGAUGAGGGUUUUCGAAUCGUAAGACCUUGUUUUAGGGGAAAAACAAAUGUGGAAUGAACUGUGCACGUCUUGACGGUACCUAAUCAGAAAGCCACGGCUAACUACGUG
This 497-nucleotide ribosomal RNA is filed under the name uncultured bacterium. Its description in RNAcentral is "partial 16S ribosomal RNA". It matches the Rfam family "Bacterial small subunit ribosomal RNA", at positions 28 to 507 of the family's 1533-position model. The record is from RNAcentral.